GAGGGUACAGCUCUGUGGUUAGAGUACGUGUUCAGCAUGUACGAGGUCGUGGGUUCAAUCCCCAGUACCUCCA
Molecule: transfer RNA, 73 nt
Filed under: Camelus bactrianus (Bactrian camel)
Lineage: Eukaryota; Metazoa; Chordata; Mammalia; Artiodactyla; Camelidae
Also listed under: 2 other names
Rfam family: tRNA
About the family: Transfer RNA (tRNA) molecules are approximately 80 nucleotides in length.
Source: Rfam by way of RNAcentral